Molecule: ribosomal RNA, 25 nt
Filed under: Artomyces microsporus
Lineage: Eukaryota; Fungi; Basidiomycota; Agaricomycetes; Russulales; Auriscalpiaceae
Description: partial 28S ribosomal RNA
Source: RNAcentral
ACUUGACCUCAAAUCAGGCGGGACU